GUGCACCAGGCGCGAAAACUUCACAAUGUGCGAAAGCACGAUGAGGGAAUCCCAAGUGCUUGCUCGUAAGAGUAAGCUGUUUCUCUGUCUAAAACGCAGAGAGAGUAAGGGCUGGGUAAGACGGGUGCCAGCCGCCGCGGUAAUACCUGCAGCUCGAGUGGUGGCCGCUAUUAUUGGGCCUAGAACGUCCGUAGCCGGUUUAUUAAAUGCCUGGGUAAAUCGGACCGCUUAACGGUUCGAAUUCCGGGUAGACUGAUAAACUUGAGACCGGGAGAAGCUAGAGGUACUCCUGGGGUAGAGGUGAAAUUCUGUAAUCCUAGGGGGACCACCAGUGGCGAAGGCGUCUAGCUAGAACGGGUCUGACGGUGAGGGACGAAGCCCU
Molecule: ribosomal RNA, 382 nt
Filed under: uncultured microorganism
Description: bacterial SSU rRNA
Rfam family: Archaeal small subunit ribosomal RNA
Source: RNAcentral